UACAGAGGGUGCAAGCGUUGUUCGGAAUUAUUGGGCGUAAAGCGCGUGUAGGCGGCUUUGCAAGUCGGGUGUGAAAGCCCUCGGCUCAACCGAGGAAGUGCGCCCGAAACUGCAGAGCUUGAGUACCGGAGAGGAUGGCGGAAUUCCCCAAGUAGAGGUGAAAUUCGUAGAUAUGGGGAGGAACACCGGUGGCGAAGGCGGCCAUCUGGACGGAUACUGACGCUGAGGCACGAAAGCUAGGGGAGCGAACGGG
RNAcentral lists this ribosomal RNA (253 nucleotides) under uncultured bacterium. Its description in RNAcentral is "partial 16S ribosomal RNA". It matches the Rfam family "Bacterial small subunit ribosomal RNA", at positions 524 to 776 of the family's 1533-position model. The record is from RNAcentral.